CCUACGGGGCGCAGCAGUGAGGAAUAUUGGUCAAUGGGCGGGAGCCUGAACCAGCCAAGUCGCGUGAGGGAUGACGGCCCUAUGGGUUGUAAACCUCUUUUGCCGGGGAGCAAAGUGCCGCACGUGUGCGGUUUGGAGAGUACCCGGAGAAAAAGCAUCGGCUAACUCCGUGCCAGCAGCCGCGGUAAUACGGAGGAUGCGAGCGUUAUCCGGAUUUAUUGGGUUUAAAGGGUGCGCAGGCGGCCUGUUAAGUCAGCGGUAAAAGCCCGGGGCUCAACCCCGGCGAGCCGUUGCAACUGGCGGGG
Molecule: ribosomal RNA, 305 nt
Filed under: uncultured bacterium
Lineage: Bacteria
Description: bacterial SSU rRNA
Rfam family: Bacterial small subunit ribosomal RNA
Source: RNAcentral